UAUGCAAUGAACUUAAAAUUCAUUUAUAAAGACUAAUCUUUUUUUAGAAA
Molecule: transfer RNA, 50 nt
Filed under: Dysaphis plantaginea (rosy apple aphid)
Lineage: Eukaryota; Metazoa; Arthropoda; Insecta; Hemiptera; Aphididae
Description: partial tRNA-Leu
Source: RNAcentral